GACGGACGCUGGCGGCGUGCUUAACACAUGCAAGUCGAACGGAAAGGCCCUGCUUUUGUGGGGUGCUCGAGUGGCGAACGGGUGAGUAACACGUGAGUAACCUGCCCUUGACUUUGGGAUAACUUCAGGAAACUGGGGCUAAUACCGGAUAGGAGCUCCUGCUGCAUGGUGGGGGUUGGAAAGUUUCGGCGGUUGGGGAUGGACUCGCGGCUUAUCAGCUUGUUGGUGGGGUAGUGGCUUACCAAGGCUUUGACGGGUAGCCGGCCUGAGAGGGUGACCGGCCACAUUGGGACGGAGAUACGGCCCAGACUCCUACGGGAGGCAGCAGUGGGGAAUAUUGCACAAUGGGCGGAAGCCUGAUGCAGCAACGCCGCGUGCGGGAUGACGGCCUUCGGGUUGUAAACCGCUUUCGCCUGUGACGAAGCGUGAGUGACGGUAAUGGGUAAAGAAGCACCGGCUAACUACGUG
This 468-nucleotide ribosomal RNA is filed under the name uncultured bacterium. RNAcentral's name for it is "partial 16S ribosomal RNA". It matches the Rfam family "Bacterial small subunit ribosomal RNA", at positions 28 to 507 of the family's 1533-position model. The record is from RNAcentral.